This 3502-nucleotide long non-coding RNA is filed under the name Mus musculus (house mouse). RNAcentral's name for it is "RIKEN cDNA G630093K05 gene". Lineage: Eukaryota; Metazoa; Chordata; Mammalia; Rodentia; Muridae. The record is from RNAcentral.
AUUCAAAUUUCUGUUUGGGGUGCUCUGAAAACACAGAAGGGACACGGGACAGAUGUGCCAUCCAACCGGGAACAUCUGGAGAGUUUCACUGAGUCUGUUGGGGUAUCCAGGACUGGCUGAGGUGGAUUGCUGGGUUCUGAUGCUAGUGAGCCGUCUUGGUUUCUGUUGGGAAGGUGCACAGAGGUCUGGCGUUCAGACCUGCCUUCUGACUGAAGAUGAAGGACCGAAACAGGGCCUGUGCCAGAAGAUGGGUUGCUUCUGCACACUGUGCACUCACCUGCACAGACUGUUCUCUGAGGGACCCAAGACACAAGAUGGUUCCCUCACCUGCUCUGGAAGUCAGAUCCCUCCCAGGUGGUCACCUCUCCUCUGGCAGGGAAGGUGCCUGGAUAUCUGGAGCCCGAAAUGGGGGUGGGGGCUGGGGGGUUGGUAGGGUCUGUCCCAGAAGCUGUAUAGCUUCUGCCCAUCCCAGAAGCUGUGUCACUUCUACAGUCCGCUUACUCACCCUCUGUAGUCCACGAGCUGAUCUGCGCAGACUGGUCCAGAGGGGACCCGGGAGAAAGAUGGCUCCCUCACCUGCUCUGGGGGUCAGAACCCUCCCAGGUGGCCUCCUCUCCUCUGGCGGGAAAGGUACCCAGAUGUCUACAGCCCAAAACAGGGCCUGUCCCAGAAGCUGUGUCACUUCUGCAGUCCACACUCUUCACCUGCACAGACUGUUCUCAAAGGGGACCGGGGAGACAAGAUGGCUCCCUCACCUGCUCUGGGGGUCAGAACCCUCCCAGGUGGCCACCUCUCCUAUGGCAGGAAAGGUGCCCAGAUGUCUGGAGCUCGCAACGGGGGUCUGUCCAGGAAGCUGUGUCGCUUCUGCAGUCCCCUCCGCAGUCCGUGACUGAGACCACAGACUGGUCUCAGAGAGACCUGGUAGACAAGAUCGAGGACAAAUUUCCCUAAGGAUCUCCUCUUCUGUUACAUACUGGCAUGUUGCUGAACUUAGACACCAACGCAUAAGUUUUGUGUUAACAUUUAGCCCAUAACACAGACUCUAUCUGGUGGAGAGUUCUUAGGGAAGCCCAAUGGGGGUUCUAAAACUUGAACACCAGAGUGGGCUGAAGUCUCCAUCACCUAUAGUCACACAGGUAUUAAAAAAUAAUAAUAAUAAAAAUAAAUAAACCACUUCCUGGCCACAUCUCUAAAAAUUUCUCUCUAAAUAUCUAACUACCUCAGGUCCUAGUAUCCCAUAGGCACUGUCUAGUUUUAACAGAAAGUUAGGAUGCACACUAACAAGAGAGGAGAGAAAAUAACAGUGGCUGUCUGGAGAGAAAGAAGGAAAGAAACAUGAAGCAGACUUUAGAAUUGGCAGGUACAGGUACUGAUGUAGCCCACUUCCUUUCCCCAGGCUUGCUUUGGGAAAUAAAUGCUUUGAAGUUUGGGGAAACUUACAUUGGUACAAAUAAAAUAUUUGGAGGAUGAAUACCAAAGUCACAAAAUUCAUAUAUGCGUCCCACUGAGACACAUGUCUGAGACAUAGCCUUCGGGUCAUCAUCUCAUACAGUCCUUUUCAGAUGCUGAGACACAGUCUUCGGGUCACCAUUUCAUACAGUCCUUUUCAGAUGCUGAGACACAGCCUUCGGGUCACCAUCUCAUACAGUCCUUUUCAGAUGCUUGAGCUCUGACUGCAGCCUUGUGAUGUCAACACCACUCAUGACAGAAUCAUAUCCACACAGAGAAGUUUAGGUGAUCUGGGAGUUUUGAAUGAGCGCUGUGCAAUUUGCUAGGUUAAGAGCUAGUGAAAAAACUGGGCAAAGGGCCAAGAGAGAUGGAGAAUUGUAAGCAGAGAUGAAGAGUCUAAGGGGGAAAACAUUUGAAAGCCAUAGGAACUUGAAUUUGUUCUUAGACAAGAACAAGAAGGCAAAAGGAAAUAAAGGGUGCAAUGCCCUCAGUUUCUCCAUGGUUCGGAUCCAACUCUCCUAGGACACUUCCACCAUGUCCUCAGACAGAGCCUGUGACAUCAGACCCAGUGAAUGUCCCCGUGGCAAUUUGCAUAUUUAAUCAUGCACUCUCAUUGCCAUUGCGGAGAUGACUGUGGUUGGGCAGCUGAGCCCCCCAUCUGCAGUAAGCAGUUGAACUGUGAAUGAAACAUUAAUCCAUUCUGCCUUUCCAUUGGAUACUUGGUUACUAUGUCCUCCAAUAACAAACCUUUUUAUAUACAGGAGGAUAAUGCUUUCCACUCGACUUGACAUAGCCCUGGACUGAUAUUAAUUAUCAAAGGUUAACCACAGGAAACUAGUAUUUGAAGAUAGGCCAACUGGCUCCAAUAAAAUUGGUUUCCCAUUCAGUUGGUUUGAAAAUAGAAUUGUUUUAUGUUAAUGUUUAUCCCCAGUCCAUGGAAUCAAGGCACCUUGGCUUUGAUUUUCUUUCUCUGUUUGAUUAUAAGUCCACUGUAUUGUUUAUCCAAUAUUCAUUUUCCCUUCAUUCCAAGCUCCCUUUAAGUAGGCCAGAGCUUUGUAAUGAACUCCAGCCAAUAGCCUGGAUGCAUUUAAACAGGAGCUAGAACAGGAGCUAUGCAGUCUGUUCUCUUCUAUGUGGUAGGCCCACAUCAGCAGCAUCCUUACACUUCCACGAAGAGGAGUGUAUCUUGCCUCCUUUCUCCAUAUAUGCAACCACAUGGAUAUACUGUGCAAGCAAGUCACAAACUGUUAGGGUCUAAGAAUUGCUGAAACAAAACCCCAGACUCAAAUAGGAUGCAAAGGCAAAGGACAAUUAUUCUGCAGAAAAGACCAGCAUACCAGUCAGGGUCAACCAUUCAUCAAAAUGGCCAGGACUCGAGGAGCUCCCAGGCCCUUUAAUGCAGGGCUUGGGGAAUUAGGUAACCUCUAAUAUGAUUGGUAGGGGCAGAGCAGUGACAUUGGUACAAUUCUGACUGGCUACUAUGUUAGUUUCAUUAUAUUUGGUGAGACCUUGAAGAAUUUUGGAAACCAGCACAGUUUUGGCCUUGUUAUCUCCUCCAGCUAGGUGUCGCAGGAGCUGACUCAACUCCAGACUUAUCCUCCCUAAGUCAGAGCCAUCAUUUAAAGAAGCCCAUUGUCGGUGGCUCCUUCUGAGGAGCCCAGGAUGUUUCCCAGAGAGUUCAAAUUCCAAGGUUUUUGAACCUUUCGAAGAUGGGCUUCAUUUGCUAUUCUGCCCUGAAUUGUCAGGCAGUCCUGAGGCAGCCAUGGUGUCUGUUUUUCUUACAUUUUCUGCAAUAAGAAGGAAACUAUAAUGUGGCCUAUUUCACUCAUUUUCACAGACUUGGCCCAAGUUCAUGAGAAGUUAGCUACUUUGUAAGUCAAAUCUUUAUAUACCGACUGGGCAGUGUACCCUACAGCCAUGUAUAUGAACUUUAUGGUUCCUCUAGAUAACUGUUUCUGGGAAAUUACACCUUUUCAAUGGAAGAAAAGAGAUAGCCUAUAAUUGUCUCAAUAUUGUACAAGCACCUAUUAAUCAGAAUAAUAAAUUCUAGCUU